GACGAACGCUGGCGGCGUGCUUAACACAUGCAAGUCGAACGCUGAAGCUCAGCUUUUGUUGGGUGGAUGAGUGGCGAACGGGUGAGUAACACGUGAGUAACCUGCCCUCUUCUUUGGGAUAACGCCCGGAAACGGGUGCUAAUACUGGAUAUUCACUGGCCUUCGCAUGGGGGUUGGUGGAAAGGUUUGUUCUGGUGGGGGAUGGGCUCGCGGCCUAUCAGCUUGUUGGUGGGGUGAUGGCCUACCAAGGCUUUGACGGGUAGCCGGCCUGAGAGGGUGACCGGUCACAUUGGGACUGAGAUACGGCCCAGACUCCUACGGGAGGCAGCAGUGGGGAAUAUUGCACAAUGGGCGAAAGCCUGAUGCAGCGACGCCGCGUGAGGGAUGGAGGCCUUCGGGUUGUAAACCUCUUUCGCUCAUGGUCAAGCCGCAACUGUGGGUUGUGGUGAGGGUAGUGGGUAAAGAAGCGCCGGCUAACUACGUGCCAGCAGCCGCGGUAAUACGUAGGGCGCGAGCGUUGUCCGGAAUUAUUGGGCGUAAAGGGCUUGUAGGCGGUUGGUCGCGUCUGCCGUGAAAUUCUCUGGCUUAACUGGGGGCGUGCGGUGGGUACGGGCUGACUUGAGUGCGGUAGGGGAGACUGGAACUCCUGGUGUAGCGGUGGAAUGCGCAGAUAUCAGGAAGAACACCGGUGGCGAAGGCGGGUCUCUGGGCCGUUACUGACGCUGAGGGAGCGAAAGCGUGGGGGAGCGAACAGG
Molecule: ribosomal RNA, 755 nt
Filed under: uncultured Actinomyces sp.
Lineage: Bacteria; Bacillati; Actinomycetota; Actinomycetes; Actinomycetales; Actinomycetaceae
Description: bacterial SSU rRNA
Rfam family: Bacterial small subunit ribosomal RNA
Source: RNAcentral